AUGAAAGUGAAAACCAGGCUAGAAAAUUUGCUUGCUCAUCAAGAAGUCACUAUGUACGCCGCGACACAUGCAACGGCGAAAACUGCUGUAGCCUACCUUGAAAGUGUUCCUAGACAAGGAGGUAAGAAGACGAUUGCGGUCAUUGUCACUGGUGGUGUUGACUUUCAUAAACGAUACGCCACUCAGAGUUACUCAGAAAUGAUUGCUAACUUGCCUCUGGAGCAAAUAAGGAGAAUUUCAGAGCAAAUGCAUGUAAUUUAUUGCCCUGUAUUGCAACAAUACAAUGCAGCUGAAAUCAACGCAAAAAUUUCCCUCAUAAAUGCGAGAAUAGAGGAAGAGUUACGUCCAAGUCCUAACAUUAGUAAAAUACCUGUUCCUCAGAAUAUCUGCUUCGAUUUUUUCUUUGAAAUUAAUGGAUGUCUUCCGAAUGAUCAUAGCAAGGACACACUCGUCAAUUUAAUUGCGAAUGAAAUACAUGCAGUUGCGACUAGAAGUUCUCCUGAAGUAACGGCAAGAGCAAGCUGUGAUGGUAACCAAAAAUCCGAGGGUUUCACGAAAAUCAGCACAAGAAUGAUACUUCUUGAGCCUUCAAAACCUCCGAAAAUCAGGGAAUCUUAUAAAUUUGGCCUGCGUAAUGUGCAAAGAGAUCGAAUUGCAAAGUUUACCAAAAAAUUUUGGGUGAAUGACCCCGAGUGUCUUCAACUUUUCACUACUUUCCACCCUUGGCGCGCGCGUUUUUGCAAACUUUUGCAUUCACAAAACAAGCUAAAGCACAAAUCUCCUAGGAGGCACCGCCUCCCGUGUGCAUUCCUACGUCGUAACGUCGUGCGUCGCACGUCGCAGCACCUUCAAUGUGCAUUUAAACAUCGUCAGUUAACACCCCAUGAUUUACUGAGCUGCCUAAUUAAAUUAAAACGUGACGCAUGUAUUGCGGAUUGCAUAAAGGUAAAAGCUCUCACAAAAUCAGUGAGUUUGCCUACAGGGAUAGAAUGUACUACAACUCCCACUUUACAGAUGAGUUCUGCUUCUGAUGAAAUAUUUGCCGAAAAAUUUAAUUACUUGCCUAAAUACGAAAAUUUAACUCUAAUUUUUGUAAUCUGCUGUGUGCUUACUUGCGCAGUAAUGACGGUUAAAGAAUGGCUAUCACAUCUCAAAAACCCAUUAGAACAAUAUUUCAAUGCAAGGGCAAAUGUAUUCCGCAUAUGUACUUUUGACGCAUAUGAACGUUUUCCCUCUCCUGUCUUUUUACCUGUGAAAAUACUUAAAGACCGGUUGACAGUGUUGAAAAAGCUUAUACGACAUAGAAAAUCCCAGCACCAUCAAGUACUUCGUAAAUGUAAAUUUAAAAGAGUUUCACCAAUUUCGAAAAAUGAUCAACCAGUCUCUGUUUCACCCCAGCACGUAUUACUGAAAAGAUAUAAUAAGCAAAAACGAAACUUUGUUCCUUGUCAACCUUUCUCUAAAUCACGUAAAAAAAAAAAAAAAAAAAAAAAAAAAAAAAAAAAAUUGUUUCUAUUUACUUACACUCUCAUCUCUCACCGCCAGUUUAAGUCCACUUUUGCGCCGAACUUCCUCUUUCUUUCUAUAACUUCACUCUGCAUAAAACAAUCUACCUUGAGGCAUUUUCUUUAA
This 1632-nucleotide long non-coding RNA is filed under the name Bemisia tabaci. Its description in RNAcentral is "lncRNA ENSSSA1UGG011315". Lineage: Eukaryota; Metazoa; Arthropoda; Insecta; Hemiptera; Aleyrodidae. The record is from RNAcentral.